This 509-nucleotide ribosomal RNA is filed under the name uncultured bacterium. RNAcentral describes it as "partial 16S ribosomal RNA". It matches the Rfam family "Bacterial small subunit ribosomal RNA", at positions 28 to 507 of the family's 1533-position model. The record is from RNAcentral.
GACGAACGCUGGCGGCGUGCUUAACACAUGCAAGUCGAACGAAGAGCGAUGGAAGCUUGCUUCUAUCAAUCUUAGUGGCGAACGGGUGAGUAACGCGUAAUCAACCUGCCCUUCAGAGGGGGACAACAGUUGGAAACGACUGCUAAUACCGCAUACGAUUCAAUCUCGGCAUCGGGACUGGAUGAAAGGUGGUCUCUAUUUAUAAGCUAUCACUGAAGGAGGGGAUUGCGUCUGAUUAGCUAGUUGGAGGGGUAACGGCCCACCAAGGCGGGGAUGAGUAGCCGACCUGAGAGGGUGACGGGCCACAUGGGGACGGAGACAGGGCCCAGACUCCUACGGAAGGAGCCAGGAGGAAUCUUCCGCAAUGGACGGAAGUCUGACGGAGCAACGGCGCGGGAGUGAUGAAGGCCCUCGGGUUGUAAAGCUCUGUUAAUCGGGACGAAUGGUUCUUGUGCGAAUAGAGCGACGAUUUGACGGUACCGGAAUAGAAAGCCACGGCUAACUACGUG